GAGUAACACAUAUUAGUAACAACACCAGCAACUCAUUAAUUUUUGACAAUUUGUAAAGCCUAAUUUUAUUGCCCUGGUGACCUUACCUUACCUCAAUAUGUAAGGAAUCAGCCCAAGAAAAUGAACUAUAUGCAGUCCCUUUGGCAAGAAAGAGCAGGAAAGACACUGCUGAAAAAUGAUCGUCUAGGCUUCUAUUUAAUAUGAAUUCAUAUACAGGGAGCCUCUGAAUACUGCUUUCCCUUUUAAUGCCACGAUAUCCAAUUAGUUGAUGUGAUUUGGGUGAUCUACCAGACUGCCACUCCCAGAAAUUGCACUUUCCCUACCAAGUAUUAAUAACCCUACAUAACAACAAUUAGAGAUCAACACAAUACUACAUGUUUCAAUAACAUAUAACUUAAAUUGUUUAGCUUCUUAAACACAAAACUCAUGCUUUAACUUCCCAAGAACACACUAAUUAUCUACAGAAGCAAAAUGUGUCACUCAUACCUUGUUGCAAAGUAAAUGCUGAAAACCAAAAUGUUAAAUCAAAAGGGAGAAAAGUGAAACACAAUUCCAUUGUUGUCAUGGAUCAGUCAAAGUCGCCAUGACAACUUUGAGUGAGCCAUGGUUGCUAACACAUCAGUUCUGACAGAGAAAAGAGAUACCAAAAGCUCCCCCAGUGCCUCCAACUCUACCCCUAGUCAAAGAACAUCAUUUGCACCUUCUUUCACAUAUCUACUACUUAUCCAAAUGUAGUAAAUAAAAUAAAAAUAAAAAGUAAAGUAUUACCUCCCAUCAUCAACAUCAAUAUCUCAAGUAACAAAUGAAAGCAUCAAGGCCCUUAUCCUGAACUGCUCUAAACUGCUGGUGCAUUUGAAUCUACUACAGUAUUCCUACAAGAUGGCCCUAAAAUUUUUCAAAAAAAAUAAAAGUCUUUCAACUAGCAUACCAACAUACAGAUUGCCACAAAGGAGAUUGCAAAUGGAUUCAAAGCUGAACUGAAGUAAACACUUACCGAAUUAACAUAGGCACGGGC
RNAcentral lists this long non-coding RNA (1015 nucleotides) under Nicotiana benthamiana. RNAcentral describes it as "long non-coding RNA (NBEN_LNC006549)". Lineage: Eukaryota; Viridiplantae; Streptophyta; Magnoliopsida; Solanales; Solanaceae. The record is from RNAcentral.